GUCCUUUUGAAUAUAAUUUAAGGUCUAGCCUGCCCAAUGAUGAAAAUUUAAUGGCCGCAGUAUACUGACUGUGCAAAGGUAGCAUAAUCAUUAGUUUUUUAAUUGAAAGCUUGUAUGAAAGGUUUGAUGAAAAAAGAAUUGUCUCUAAAUAAAAUUUUUGAAUUUUAUUUUUAAGUUAAAAAGCUUAAAUUAGUAUUGAAGACGAGAAGACCCUAUAGAGUUUUAUUUAUGUAAUAAUAAAUUAAGUUUUAGGAUUUUAAAUUUGUAUUAUUAAGUAAAUUUAGUUGGGGCGAUUGAAAAAUUUACUAAACUUUUUUUUUAUUUAAACAUUUAUUUAUGAAUUUUUGAUCCUUUAUAAGAUUAUAAGAUAAAAUUACCUUAGGGAUAACAGCGUAAUUUUUUUUAGAGUUCUUAUCGAAAAAAAAGAUUGCGACCUCGAUGUUGGAUUAAAUUAAAUUUUUGGUGUAGAAGCUAAAAAAUUAGGUCUGUUCGACCUUUAAAUUUUUACAUGAUCUGAGUUUAAACCGGUGUAA
RNAcentral lists this ribosomal RNA (533 nucleotides) under Kyklioacalles roboris. RNAcentral's name for it is "partial 16S ribosomal RNA". It matches the Rfam family "Bacterial large subunit ribosomal RNA", at positions 1819 to 2624 of the family's 2925-position model. The record is from RNAcentral. Lineage: Eukaryota; Metazoa; Arthropoda; Insecta; Coleoptera; Curculionidae.